ACCCUAACAGCUAGCCCAACUUAAAAAACCAACAAACCCCAUUAAUAACCCAACACAAAACACCCUAACUAAAUCAAACCAUUUUUCCCCCUCAGUACGGGAGACGGAACAGGAUCUUGGCGCCAUAGAGAUAGUACCGCAAGGGAACGCUGAAAGAGAACUGAAAAAACCCAGUGAAGGCCUAAAAAGCAGAGACCACACCUCGUACCUUUUGCAUCAUGACCUAGCAAGUAUGCCCAAGCAAAGAGCCCUUUACGUUUGUACCCCCGAAACUGUACGAGCUACUCCGAGACAGCCUAUGUAGGGCGAACCCGUCUCUGUAGCAAAAGAGUGGGAAGAGCUCCGAGUAGAGGUGACAGACCUAUCGAGUACAGUUAUAGCUGGUUGCCUGAGAACCGAAUAGAAGUUCGACCUUUUAAUUUCUUACACCAAACAGGAGGCUACCUCCCACCCCGGCCCAAAGAACAUCAAAAGAGCUAUUCAAAAGAGGGACAGCUCUUUUGAACCAAGACACAACUUUUAUAGCAGGAUAAGGACUACACAUUACAAGGAGAACGCCUCCGUGGGCCUAAAAGCAGCCACCCUAAUAGAAAGCGUUAUAGCUCGAGCGUAUAAAACCUCUAAUCCCAGCCUCAACCUCCUAUUCCCCUAACCAUAUCAGGCUUUCCCAUGCUGCCAUGGGAGAAAAUCUGCUAACAUGAGUAACAAGAGGGGCCCGACCCCUUCUCCCUGCCCCCGUGUAAUCAGAACAGACCCUAACUGAAAAUUAACGCCCCCGCUCGAGGGCAGUGGAACAUGAUUUCAACAACUAGAAGCGCCUCCACAAACAAGCGUUAACCCCACACUGGAAAGCCCAAGGAAAGACAUAAAGGAAAAGAAGUAACUCGGCAAACACCAGCCUCGCCUGUUUACCAAAAACAUCGCCUCUUGCAAUACAAGUAUAAGAGGUCCCGCCUGCCCUGUGACACAAGUUUAACGGCCGCGGUAUUUUGACCGUGCGAAGGUAGCGCAAUCACUUGUCUUUUAAAUGAAGACCUGUAUGAAUGGCAUAACGAGGGCUGACCUGUCUCCUUUCCCCAGUCAGUGAAAUUGAUCUGCCCGUGCAGAAGCGGGCAUACAAAAAUAAGACGAGAAGACCCUAUGGAGCUUAAGGCCAUCAAAUAGAUUAAGUCAAAACCCCUAUGUGAUCAGGCAUGAACUAAAUAAUACCUACUUGACUGCCUUUGGUUGGGGCGACCACGGGGGAACACACAGCCCCCAAGAGGAACGGGCCCCACACCCUAAAACCAGAGCCACAGCUCGAACACCCAGAACUUCUGACCACUAAGAUCCGGCAACGCCGAUCAACGGACCCAGUUACCCUAGGGAUAACAGCGCAAUCCCCUUUUAGAGCCCAUAUCGACAAGGGGGUUUACGACCUCGAUGUUGGAUCAGGACAUCCUAUUGGUGCAGCCGCUAUUAAGGGUUCGUUUGUUCAACGAUUAAAGUCCU
Molecule: ribosomal RNA, 1491 nt
Filed under: Elacatinus prochilos
Lineage: Eukaryota; Metazoa; Chordata; Actinopteri; Gobiiformes; Gobiidae
Description: partial 16S ribosomal RNA
Rfam family: Bacterial large subunit ribosomal RNA
Source: RNAcentral